CCUGGGCCCCGCCCCGCCGUCGACCAGUGAGGCCCCGCCUCUCCCUCAAAUCGCCAUCCCAACCUGGUUUCGUGGAAAAGGUUCCCCAGCUUCUCUAGCUGUGGAUUUACCAGAGACCUCACUCCGCCCUAGACCUUCAGGAGGCCCGGUGGAUCCAAGUCAACCCUAUCUCGCCCGACCUCAGCUCUCCCGGGUGUCUUGGCGGCCCAGAGCGCACGUGGAGAUGGAGCUGGCUGUGCACGUAGCUUGUGGUACCCGCGCUUGCCAGGUUGGCCCAGGGGCGAUGGCAGGAGGGCCGCUUUAGACUGCCUGAGACUGGAGAGGAGGCCAACGGAGUCAGCAGCAAAGCCAGAAGACCUCUACCUAGCCGAGGCCACGCCUUGCCCUUGCACUCGGGACCUGGUUUUUCUGGGCUUCUUUGACAGUGUUAAGUCACAAUGAGAUAAACAGCCCUAGGGAGAUGCUCUACUUGUAGUCAUCACAGGUGACAGCACCUCUGCUGUGGAAUCAGUCACCCACUAGGUGGACGGAGCUUGCCCCCACUGCGAAUCCUGCACGAGCUCCUCUGCUGGUGUCCACAAACAAGUCAGAUCACUUCAGAGGAGCAACUAACUUCAUCUCCAGCUCUGGUCCAAUGUGUAGAGCUAGAGUGACCAGCACAGAGGACCAAAGAUCUACCAUUACCUGGGAUCAGUCUGUUGGCAGAACUGCACUAACGUACUGGCUCUCCACUCCUCUAAGCACCACAUCCAUGAAAUCCACAUCAAGGGAACUCCCGCUAUUUCCUACUUUGUGGACCCUAUCCUCCCCGAUUCUGCACCACACUGCUUUGUAAGUGAUUCUCAUAAACAGCCACACCUGAACAAUCAGUUGUUAGAUGUUGUUUAGGUCACAAAAUAGGAGAUGUCAUCUCUUGUCCUCAAAAAAUAUCAAGUAGUUUAAGGAAUCAAGUGGCAGUCCACAGCAUUACAGGUGCCUGGCAGUGAGUGGCCAUUUAUAACCAAAACUAAGAGUGAGACUCAAGGUGUUAAGGGAGGUCAGAGGUCGCAUGUUAAGGGAGGUUAGAGGUCACACAAUAACUUGUGCUUUGAGUGGGAAAGAGGCUGUGAGCAGACUAUAGAUGCCACGCUAGGUUGAGAAGGCCCAGCUUUGACUUGGGCUUCAUCUAAAGCCACAGAAGAUAUCUAAGCAAGAAAGAUGAGCAUCCAGCAGUGAUGGAGAAAGCAGCAGGAAGCUGACUAUACAGAGAUCAGCUGUACAGUCUAGGCACAAGCUAGUAAACGCAUGAGUUGUUUUUGAGAGAGGGAAACUGGUUGUGUGGGCCAUAAAGGGCGAGGGAACUGGAUACCUGCGGUUUAAAGCAGACUAGGACAAAAAGCAUUACAAGCAGAAAUAACGGAGAGAUUACCAGUGAUCAAGGGCACAUACUACUUUUAGGACUUGAGUUCAGUUUCUAGCACCCAUGUUAGGUGGCUCAGAACUGCCUGUAAAUCCGGUUCUAGGGAACCAGACACCACUGAUCUACAUGGACACUUGCAAGCAUACGCCAUAUAUACACACACAUACACAUAAUUAAAAAUAAUAAAAGAAUGGAAACAAUAGCUUGCUCAAGCAAUUAAAUUCUGAUAACUACUAUUAAUGGUGAAGGAUUAUUGACACAAGUAAGUGGCAACAGAGCAAGAUUGACAACAUAUCUCCCAAGUUUUAGAAUGCAACAAUGCUCAUCUUCCUAUAUUUAACAGAACCACGCUGUGGGAUUUUAGUCUAUGAAGAAAUGGUUGAUCAUCCUCAAUGCCAAGAUUCAAAUACAUUUCUUCUACCACCAUGACCUCAUCUUGACCUACCCCUGAACUGGAAGAUAUAUUUUCAAAAUAACACAAAUUUGUAUUGCCUAAGGAAAACACUAUGCCAUUUAUAGCAGGGCACAUUAUGAUGAAGGUUUCAAAUUUGGACUCCUGAGACAAACCCUGAGUUAAUGCAUUUUGCAGAUACCACUGCAUGAUAGCCAAGUGUAUGCUUAUAACUCCCCCCAAAUAAGCAGGCACAGUGUCAGCAGAUAGUUGGGUCAAUAGAUACCUGGUAGAAAAAGAAAGUGAAGGGAAAGGAUUAAGUGAACAAGACUAGUUGAAUGAAUGGGCGCCUCAGUUUGCUCCCACAGAAAGCUGUGAACAACUGAUAGCCAAGCCUUUGAGGGAAAACACUUAACUUGCCUAAUCCUGAAGAAUGGCCAUCACAGCAGCAGUCAUAAGCUUACAAUGAAUGAAUACAGACUAAACCCAACGGGUUAGAUGCCUCCUGAAGGCACCUAUGCAGCCAUGGAACCAUGGACUACUUCCUUAUCUGGGCAUUGAACCCUGCUUCCCUCAGGGGCAAGCCAGUACCCAGCAGCUACAUCUGUGCUGUGCAGUUCUAUGGAUGCACCGCAAUUCUCUGAACUGAUGAUGGUGGCUACAUGCUCAAGGUGAGCCCUGAUGAGUCAGCAAGCAUGGGAACCAGAAAGGAUGGCAGAGGCUGACCUGUAGGGACACACUUUGCAGGCCUGAAGCCUUCUUCCACCCACCAAUGAGACCAGGAGGCAGAGGAAAAGUUUCCUUUAAAAUAAAUACAAAGCAGCUGAAGGA
Mastomys coucha (southern multimammate mouse) is the source of this 2621-nucleotide long non-coding RNA. RefSeq lists it as uncharacterized. The transcript is spliced from 2 exons. Lineage: Eukaryota; Metazoa; Chordata; Mammalia; Rodentia; Muridae. The record is from RefSeq and is a predicted model, not a curated record.